AGGACGAACGCUGGCGGCGUGCCUCAUACAUGCAAGUGGAGCGACGAACCAGGAUUUAUCCUGGGGCAAAGCCGCGAACGGGUGAGUAACACGUGGGUUACCUGCCUCGAUGACCGGGACAACCCGAGGAAACUCGGGCUAAUACCGGAUGUGCCCGCAAGGGGAAAGGAAGCUUCGGCCUCCGCAUCGAGAUGGGCCCGCGGCCCAUUAGCUUGUUGGUGAGGUAACGGCUCACCAAGGCUUCGAUGGGUAGCUGGUCUGAGAGGACGAUCAGCCACACUGGGACUGAGACACGGCCCAGACUCCUACGGGAGGCAGCAGUGGGGAAUCUUGCGCAAUGCGCGAAAGCGUGACGCAGCAACGCCGCGUGGGGGAAGAAGGCUUUCGGGUUGUAAACCCCUUUCAGUUGGGACGAAGCUUCGUCGGUGAAUAGCCGGCCGGAGUGACGGUACCUUCACAAGAAGCACCGGCUAACUACGUGCCAGCAGCCGCGGU
RNAcentral lists this ribosomal RNA (495 nucleotides) under uncultured bacterium. RNAcentral describes it as "SSU rRNA". It matches the Rfam family "Bacterial small subunit ribosomal RNA", at positions 26 to 521 of the family's 1533-position model. The record is from RNAcentral.